This 253-nucleotide long non-coding RNA is filed under the name Nicotiana benthamiana. RNAcentral describes it as "long non-coding RNA (NBEN_LNC038437)". Lineage: Eukaryota; Viridiplantae; Streptophyta; Magnoliopsida; Solanales; Solanaceae. The record is from RNAcentral.
UGUUGUAUCUCCGAGCAAAGGUGUUAAGGCUUGUGUCCUUAAGUUGUAAAGGUUUGUUGAGCACCCGUAAGCUUGACAAGUUAGUGGAAAAUCUCGAGCGAGUCUCUCGGGGACUGGACUAGCCACUUGUUGUGUUGAACCAGAAUACAUCGGUGCGUUUGUUCUUUAUUGCAUUUAAUUUCCGCACAUAUUUUUCCUGCAAGUUUUUAAAUUCUGCAAGUUUACGCUAAUUUUUAUUAUAACGCUAUUCACC